Molecule: ribosomal RNA, 918 nt
Filed under: uncultured bacterium
Lineage: Bacteria
Description: bacterial SSU rRNA
Rfam family: Bacterial small subunit ribosomal RNA
Source: RNAcentral
ACGCUGGCGGCGUGCCUAAUACAUGCAAGUAGAACGCUGAAGAGAGGAGCUUGCUCUUCUUGGAUGAGUUGCGAACGGGUGAGUAACGCGUAGGUAACCUGCCUUGUAGCGGGGGAUAACUAUUGGAAACGAUAGCUAAUACCGCAUAACAAUGGAUGACACAUGUCAUUUAUUUGAAAGGGGCAAUUGCUCCACUACAAGAUGGACCUGCGUUGUAUUAGCUAGUAGGUGAGGUAACGGCUCACCUAGGCGACGAUACAUAGCCGACCUGAGAGGGUGAUCGGCCACACUGGGACUGAGACACGGCCCAGACUCCUACGGGAGGCAGCAGUAGGGAAUCUUCGGCAAUGGGGGCAACCCUGACCGAGCAACGCCGCGUGAGUGAAGAAGGUUUUCGGAUCGUAAAGCUCUGUUGUAAGUCAAGAACGAGUGUGAGAGUGGAAAGUUCACACUGUGACGGUAGCUUACCAGAAAGGGACGGCUAACUACGUGCCAGCAGCCGCGGUAAUACGUAGGUCCCGAGCGUUGUCCGGAUUUAUUGGGCGUAAAGCGAGCGCAGGCGGUUUGAUAAGUCUGAAGUUAAAGGCUGUGGCUCAACCAUAGUUCGCUUUGGAAACUGUCAAACUUGAGUGCAGAAGGGGAGAGUGGAAUUCCAUGUGUAGCGGUGAAAUGCGUAGAUAUAUGGAGGAACACCGGUGGCGAAAGCGGCUCUCUGGUCUGUAACUGACGCUGAGGCUCGAAAGCGUGGGGAGCGAACAGGAUUAGAUACCCUGGUAGUCCACGCCGUAAACGAUGAGUGCUAGGUGUUGGAUCCUUUCCGGGAUUCAGUGCCGCAGCUAACGCAUUAAGCACUCCGCCUGGGGAGUACGACCGCAAGGUUGAAACUCAAAGGAAUUGACCGGGGGCCCGCACAAGCGG